Molecule: long non-coding RNA, 952 nt
Organism: Gopherus flavomarginatus (Mexican gopher tortoise)
Lineage: Eukaryota; Metazoa; Chordata; Testudines; Testudinidae
Exons: 3
Source: RefSeq, a predicted model, not a curated record
GAGACAAGGGGGCGACAGGGGCACAGAUCUGAGACCCGCGUUGGAGAAUCGGGGGGAAGGGGUCAAUGUGGGAUUGUUGGUAUUUGAUAGUCAGAGCGACGGGGGGAUCUCGGGGCAGGUUCAGUCAGUGACAGACACCAGCAGAGACAAGGGGGCGCCAGGGGCACAGAUCUGAGACCCGCGUUGGAGAAUCGGGGGUAAGGGGUCAAUGUGGGAUUGUUGGUAUUUGAUAGUCAGAGCGACGGGGGGAUCUCGGGGCAGGUUCAGUCAGUGACAGACGCCAGCAGAGACAAGGGGGCACUACGGGCACAGAUCUGAGACCCGCGUUGGAGAAUCGGGGGGAAGGGGUCAAUGUGGGAUUGUUGGUAUUUGAUAGUCAGAGCGACGGGGGGAUCGCGGGGCAGGUUCAGUCAGUGACAGACGCCAGCAGAGACAAGGGGGCGCCAGGGGCACAGAUCUGAGACCCGCGUUGGAGAAUCGGGGGGAAGGGGUCAGUGUGGGAUUGUUGGUAUUUGAUAGUCAGAGCGACGGGGGGAUCGCAGGGUAGGUUCAGUCAGUGACAGACGCCAGCAGAGACAAGGGGGCGACAGGGGCACAGAUCUGAGACCCGCGUUGGAGAAUCGGGGGGAAGGGGUCAAUGUGGGAUUGUUGGUAUUUGAUAGUCAGAGCGACGGGGGGAUCUCGGGGCAGGUUCAGUCAGUGACAGACGCCAGCAGAGACAAGGGGGCGCCAGGGGCACAGAUCUGAGACCCGCGUUGGAGAAUCGGGGGGAAGGGGUCAAUGUGGGAUUGUUGGUAUUUGACAGUCAGAGCGACGGGGGGAUCUCGGGGCAGGUUCAGUCAGUGACAGACGCCAGCAGAGACAAGGGGGCGCCAGGGGCACAGAUCUGAGACCCGCGUUGGAGAAUCGGGGGGAAUGGGUCAAUGUGGGAUUGUUGGUAUUUGAUAGUCAG